Molecule: non-coding RNA, 99 nt
Filed under: Niallia circulans
Lineage: Bacteria; Bacillati; Bacillota; Bacilli; Caryophanales; Bacillaceae
Description: Bacillus circulans Guanine sequence
Rfam family: Purine riboswitch aptamer
About the family: Riboswitches are metabolite binding domains within certain messenger RNAs that serve as precision sensors for their corresponding targets. Allosteric rearrangement of mRNA structure is mediated by ligand binding, and this results in modulation of gene expression.
Source: Rfam by way of RNAcentral
GCUGCUAUUGCGCCUUUUUUUCGUAUAUCCUUAAUAAUUGGGUUAAGGGUCUCUACUGGAAACCGUAAAUUUCUUGCUACGAAAAAUAUGCUUUGAACU